GAGACGUUAGUAAAACUAUUACAUAGUCUUGUCAAGACUAAAUUGCAAGUGAAACCCUUGCACAUCUCU
This 69-nucleotide transfer RNA is filed under the name Paroreomyza montana. Its description in RNAcentral is "tRNA-Asp". Lineage: Eukaryota; Metazoa; Chordata; Aves; Passeriformes; Fringillidae. The record is from RNAcentral.